CCCGCACAAGCGGUGGAGCAUGUGGUUUAAUUCGAUGCAACGCGAAGAACCUUACCUGGGCUUGACAUCCCUGGAAUCCCCUGGAAACAGGGGAGUGCCCUUCGGGGAGCCAGGAGACAGGUGCUGCAUGGCUGUCGUCAGCUCGUGUCGUGGGAUGUUGGGUUAAGUCCCGCAACGAGCGCAACCCCUAUCUUUAAUUGCCAUCAUUCAGUUGGGUACUUUAGAGAGACUGCCGGUGUUAAGCCGGAGGAAGGUGGGGAUGACGCCAAGUCCUCAUGGCCUUUAUGUCUAGGGCUACACACGUGCUACAAUGGGUGGUACAAUGGGUAUCUACCCCGAAAGGGGACGGAAAUCUCCUAAAACCAAUCUUAGUUCGGAUUGAGGGCUGCAACUCGCCCUCAUGAAGCUGGAAUCCGUAGUAAUCGCGUUUCAACAGAACGCGGUGAAUACGUCCCUGCUCCUU
Molecule: ribosomal RNA, 463 nt
Filed under: uncultured Syntrophus sp.
Lineage: Bacteria; Pseudomonadati; Thermodesulfobacteriota; Syntrophia; Syntrophales; Syntrophaceae
Description: bacterial SSU rRNA
Rfam family: Bacterial small subunit ribosomal RNA
Source: RNAcentral